Molecule: long non-coding RNA, 260 nt
Filed under: Taeniopygia guttata (zebra finch)
Lineage: Eukaryota; Metazoa; Chordata; Aves; Passeriformes; Estrildidae
Description: lncRNA (ENSTGUG00000028116.1)
Source: RNAcentral
AGAAAAACAGGACUAUUCUCUUGUAACAUCAUUCCUUCCAUUACAAGGGUAAAAGUAGAGCUAGAUGCAACACUGUUUUUAGAAGUGCCUCUCCUACAAAAGAAAAGUUGUGACUGUGAGGAAUCUGCCUAGGAGCCAUGAGUCUUUAGAGGUACAGAUCCUAGAAGGAGAUGAUAUUUGGACACAUCUACAUCGUGAACUGGUUUCCAAAUUAGGUUAGCAUUCUUAUUGUUUUAUUUCCAGAAAAAAGGUAGAAGAGU